GACGAACGCUGGCGGCGUGCCUAAUACAUGCAAGUAGAACGCUGAAGAGAGGAGCUUGCUCUUCUUGGAUGAGUUGCGAACGGGUGAGUAACGCGUAGGUAACCUGCCUUGUAGCGGGGGAUAACUAUUGGAAACGAUAGCUAAUACCGCAUAACAAUGGAUGACACAUGUCAUUUAUUUGAAAGGGGCAAUUGCUCCACUACAAGAUGGACCUGCGUUGUAUUAGCUAGUAGGUGAGGUAACGGCUCACCUAGGCGACGAUACAUAGCCGACCUGAGAGGGUGAUCGGCCACACUGGGACUGAGACACGGCCCAGACUCCUACGGGAGGCAGCAGUAGGGAAUCUUCGGCAAUGGGGGCAACCCUGACCGAGCAACGCCGCGUGAGUGAAGAAGGUUUUCGGAUCGUAAAGCUCUGUUGUAAGUCAAGAACGAGUGUGAGAGUGGAAAGUUCACACUGUGACGGUAGCUUACCAGAAAGGGACGGCUAACUACGUGCCAGCCGCCGCGGUAAUACGUAGGUCCCGAGCGUUGUCCGGAUUUAUUGGGCGUAAAGCGAGCGCAGGCGGUUUGAUAAGUCUGAAGUUAAGGCUGUGGCUCAACCAUAGUUCGCUUUGGAAACUGUCAAACUUGAGUGCAGAAUUUGAGAGUGGAAUUCCAUGUGUAGCGGUGAAAUGCGUAGAUAUAUGGAGGAACACCGGUGGCGAAAGCGGCUCUCUGGUCUGUAACUGACGCUGAGGCUCGAAAGCGUGGGGAGCGAACAGGAUUAGAUACCCUGGUAGUCCACGCCGUAAACGAUGAGUGCUAGGUGUUGGAUCCUUUCCGGGAUUCAGUGCCGCAGCUAACGCAUUAAGCACUCCGCCUGGGGAGUACGACCGCAAGGUUGAAACUCAAAGGAAUUGACGGGGGCCCGCACAAGCGGUGGAGCAUGUGGUUUAAUUCGAAGCAACGCGAAGAACCUUACCAGGUCUUGACAUCCCGAUGCUAUUUCUAGAGAUAGAAAGUUACUUCGGUACAUCGGUGACAGGUGGUGCAUGGUUGUCGUCAGCUCGUGUCGUGAGAUGUUGGGUUAAGUCCCGCAACGAGCGCAACCCCUAUUGUUAGUUGCCAUCAUUCAGUUGGGCACUCUAGCGAGACUGCCGGUAAUAAACCGGAGGAAGGUGGGGAUGACGUCAAAUCAUCAUGCCCCUUAUGACCUGGGCUACACACGUGCUACAAUGGUUGGUACAACGAGUUGCGAGUCGGUGACGGCAAGCUAAUCUCUUAAAGCCAAUCUCAGUUCGGAUUGUAGGCUGCAACUCGCCUACAUGAAGUCGGAAUCGCUAGUAAUCGCGGAUCAGCACGCCGCGGUGAAUACGUUCCCGGGCCU
This 1368-nucleotide ribosomal RNA is filed under the name uncultured bacterium. Its description in RNAcentral is "bacterial SSU rRNA". It matches the Rfam family "Bacterial small subunit ribosomal RNA", at positions 28 to 1381 of the family's 1533-position model. The record is from RNAcentral.